Molecule: transfer RNA, 76 nt
Filed under: Candidatus Dojkabacteria bacterium
Lineage: Bacteria
Description: tRNA-Phe
Rfam family: tRNA
About the family: Transfer RNA (tRNA) molecules are approximately 80 nucleotides in length. Their secondary structure includes four short double-helical elements and three loops (D, anti-codon, and T loops). Further hydrogen bonds mediate the characteristic L-shaped molecular structure. tRNAs have two regions of fundamental functional importance: the anti-codon, which is responsible for specific mRNA codon recognition, and the 3' end, to which the tRNAs corresponding amino acid is attached (by aminoacyl-tRNA synthetases). tRNAs cope with the degeneracy of the genetic code in two manners: having more than one tRNA (with a specific anti-codon) for a particular amino acid; and 'wobble' base-pairing, i.e. permitting non-standard base-pairing at the 3rd anti-codon position.
Source: RNAcentral
GCCGAGAUAGCUCAGUUGGUAGAGCACCUGUCUGAAGAACAGGGUGUCCCCAGUUCAAAUCUGGGUCUCGGCACCA